Long non-coding RNA from Oryzias melastigma (Indian medaka), 1138 nucleotides. RefSeq lists it as uncharacterized. Lineage: Eukaryota; Metazoa; Chordata; Actinopteri; Beloniformes; Adrianichthyidae. The record is from RefSeq and is a predicted model, not a curated record. The transcript is spliced from 4 exons.
GCCACCUUGAGGAAAGGCUGGGAAAAACGAUACCUAAAAGGGGUUGUCAGUCCAUCAGUUCUCUGUUUCAGGAAUGCAGGCCCUGGCCAGCUGUGUGUCCUAUCCCGGCCCAGCUGUGUUGAUCUAACGCGCCAGUCCCAGACUUACUGGCGCCAGCCUCCCGACGUCAUCCAUUCACCCCGACGCGCACUCCCCUUUCCUUGGCAGACCGCCCGCCCUCCCCCGUGAACCAUCAGAAAGGGAGGGGGGGAGCAUAGGCGCUCAGCGAUCCGAUUGGCUGCGCGCUUCUGUCACUCAGGGAGAUAAAGCUGCUCCUCUUUACACCCCAGAAGGCAUCGGCCACAAGGUGCUCCUGCCCAUGUCCUUGACUGGGAAGAUUUUACCGCACAAAGAACUAAAGCCACAGAACUGUAUGACAGGUGGGCCGAAACCCACAGAAGGUCACUAAACCCAUGGCCACGACGAGGGAAAAACAGCUCUUCAGAGAAGACCCGGCCAAGAGAGAGGCCGCCAGGUGCUGGUCAUACUUUUGUUUUGUCGUUUUCAUCAAGUGACUGGAACAGUCGGUUUACUCUGGAGCCAUCCGAUGGGGAGGAACAUCUGGUUUUGUGUAAGCAAGACCACACUUGGUGCUUGCAGUUGGUCUGUUUGGUGCUUUGGAUUAAAAGAAAUAGGGUUAAUUUUUAGCAAGAAAAUGAUGUGCAGUAAUGUGGAUUGGUAAUAGAACAACCAAUAAGUGAUAUUUCAUAUGAAAUAAAUUCAGAGAAUAAUUUGUUAUUGUGUAGUUUGGGUGAUUUGACUGGACAAUUACAAUUAAAGCCGUUUUGAAGAAAAUAUUCUGUAAUUUAUUAACAAGAGACUUUGAUAGUGGGUGGAAUCUAAGGCUGAUUGUUGGUACUUUUUUGGCUAGAUAGCAUCACAUGCAGGUGUGGAGUCUGCAAACUAGAGUUUUGUUUUUUGUGAAAAUGUUUGCUAAUUUUGGUGAUACUUGACCAACCAAAUUCUCAUCCCCAAGUCGUCACAUAUUAAUGUUUGGUUAUGGCCCCUUUCACGUCACUUUUUGAUGUUUUGGGUGUCCCCAACUCGUCAUUUUUUAACAUGCUGACUGUUCGCAACCCAUGGGACGUGGUACCGGAUG